RNAcentral lists this ribosomal RNA (468 nucleotides) under uncultured bacterium. RNAcentral's name for it is "partial 16S ribosomal RNA". It matches the Rfam family "Bacterial small subunit ribosomal RNA", at positions 28 to 507 of the family's 1533-position model. The record is from RNAcentral.
GACGAACGCUGGCGGCGUGCUUAACACAUGCAAGUCGAACGGAAAGGCCCUGCUUUUGUGGGGUGCUCGAGUGGCGAACGGGUGAGUAACACGUGAGUAACCUGCCCUUGACUUUGGGAUAACUUCAGGAAACUGGGGCUAAUACCGGAUAGGAGCUCCUGCUGCAUGGUGGGGGUUGGAAAGUUUCGGCGGUUGGGGAUGGACUCGCGGCUUAUCCGCUUGUUGGUGGGGUAGUGGCUUACCAAGGCUUUGACGGGUAGCCGGCCUGAGAGGGUGGCCGGCGACAUGGGGACUGAGGUAGGGACCAGAGGCGAACGGGAGGCAGCAGUGGGGAGUAUUGCACAAUGGGCGGGAGCGUGAUGCGGAGGCGCCGGGUGCGGGAUGACGGCCUUCGGGGUGUGAACCGCUUUCGCCUGAGACGAAGGGUGGGUGACGGUAAUGGGUAAAGAAGCACCGGCUAACUACGUG